This 305-nucleotide ribosomal RNA is filed under the name uncultured bacterium. RNAcentral's name for it is "bacterial SSU rRNA". It matches the Rfam family "Bacterial small subunit ribosomal RNA", at positions 334 to 636 of the family's 1533-position model. The record is from RNAcentral.
GGAGCCUACGGGGGGCAGCAGUGAGGAAUAUUGGUCAAUGGCCGAGAGGCUGAACCAGCCAAGUCGCGUGAGGGAUGACGGCCCUACGGGUUGUAAACCUCUUUUGUCGGGGAGCAAGACCCGCCUCGUGCAGGCGGAGCGAGAGUACCCGAAGAAAAAGCAUCGGCUAACUCCGUGCCAGCAGCCGCGGUAAUACGGAGGAUGCGAGCGUUAUCCGGAUUUAUUGGGUUUAAAGGGUGCGUAGGCGGGCUUUUAAGUCAGCGGUAAAAAUUCGGGGCUCAACCCCGUCCGGCCGUUGAAACUGG